Molecule: ribosomal RNA, 253 nt
Filed under: uncultured bacterium
Lineage: Bacteria
Description: partial 16S ribosomal RNA
Rfam family: Bacterial small subunit ribosomal RNA
Source: RNAcentral
UACGGAGGGGGCUAGCGUUGUUCGGAAUUACUGGGCGUAAAGCGCACGUAGGCGGACUGUUAAGUCGGGGGUGAAAUCCCCGGGCUCAACCUGGGAACUGCAUCCGAGACUGCUUUGCUCGAGUAUGGGAGAGGGAAGUGGAAUUUCCGGUGUAGCGGUGAAAUGCGUAGAUAUCGGAAGGAACAUCAGUGGCGAAGGCGACUUCCUGGACCAAUACUGACGCUCAGGUGCGAAAGCGUGGGGAGCAAACAGG